RNAcentral lists this transfer RNA (90 nucleotides) under Saprospiraceae bacterium. Its description in RNAcentral is "tRNA-Ser". It matches the Rfam family "tRNA". Rfam says of the family: Transfer RNA (tRNA) molecules are approximately 80 nucleotides in length. Their secondary structure includes four short double-helical elements and three loops (D, anti-codon, and T loops). Lineage: Bacteria; Pseudomonadati; Bacteroidota; Saprospiria; Saprospirales; Saprospiraceae. The record is from RNAcentral.
GGAUGGGUGGGUGAGUGGCUGAAACCAACGGUUUGCUAAACCGUCAUAGGGAGUAAAUCUCUAUCGAGGGUUCGAAUCCCUCCCCUUCCG